CCUACGGGUGGCAGCAGUGGGGGAUAUUGGACAAUGGCGGAAACUCUGAUCCAGCGACGCCGCGUGAAUGAAGAAGUAUUUCGGUUUGUAAAGCUCUAUCAGCAGGGAAGAAAAAAAUGACGGUACCUGAGUAUCAAGCCCCGGCUAACUACGUGCCAGCAGCCGCUGUAAUACGUAGGGGGCAAGCGUUAUCCGGAAUUACUGGGUGUAAAGGGUGCGUAGGUGGUAAUGUAAGUUGGGGGUGAAAGUCCGGGGCCCAACCCCAGGGCUGCCGCGGAAACUGUGAGACUGGAGUGCAGGAGAGGGAGGCGGAAGGCCGAGUGUAGCGGUGAAAUGCGUAGAUAUUAGGAGGAACACCAGGGGCGAAGGCGGCUUACUGGACUGUAACUGACACUGAGGCACGAAAGCGUGGGGAGCAAACAGGAUUAGAUACCCCUGUAGUC
RNAcentral lists this ribosomal RNA (443 nucleotides) under uncultured bacterium. RNAcentral's name for it is "partial 16S ribosomal RNA". It matches the Rfam family "Bacterial small subunit ribosomal RNA", at positions 338 to 795 of the family's 1533-position model. The record is from RNAcentral.